UUAACACAUGCAAGUCGAGCGCCCCGCAAGGGGAGCGGCAGACGGGUGAGUAACGCGUGGGAACGUACCUUUUGCUACGGAAUAACUCAGGGAAACUUGUGCUAAUACCGUAUGUGCCCUUCGGGGGAAAGAUUUAUCGGCAAAGGAUCGGCCCGCGUUGGAUUAGCUAGUUGGUGAGGUAAAGGCUCACCAAGGCGACGAUCCAUAGCUGGUCUGAGAGGAUGAUCAGCCACACUGGGACAAUGGGCGCAAGCCUGAUCCAGCCAUGCCGCGUGAGUGAUGAAGGCCCUAGGGUUGUAAAGCUCUUUCACACGGUGAAGAUAAUGACGGUAACCGGAGAAGAAGCCCCGGCUAACUUCGUGCCAGCAGCCGCGGUAAUACGAAGGGGGCUAGCGUUGUUCGGAUUUACUGGGCGUAAAGCGCACGUAGGCGGACUUUUAAGUCAGGGGUGAAAUCCCGGGGCUCAACCCCGGAACUGCCUUUGAUACUGGAAGUCUUGA
This 500-nucleotide ribosomal RNA is filed under the name uncultured bacterium. RNAcentral describes it as "bacterial SSU rRNA". It matches the Rfam family "Bacterial small subunit ribosomal RNA", at positions 48 to 645 of the family's 1533-position model. The record is from RNAcentral.